This 382-nucleotide ribosomal RNA is filed under the name uncultured archaeon. Its description in RNAcentral is "bacterial SSU rRNA". It matches the Rfam family "Archaeal small subunit ribosomal RNA", at positions 345 to 727 of the family's 1478-position model. The record is from RNAcentral.
AAACUUUACAAUGCUGGAAACAGCGAUAGGGGGACCUCGAGUGCCAAGAUACAAUCUUGGCUGUCGUUGUGUCUAAAAAACACGAUAUAGCAAGGGCCGGGCAAGACCGGUGCCAGCCGCCGCGGUAACACCGGCGGCUCGAGUGGUAACCGCUAUUAUUGGGUCUAAAGGGUCUGUAGCCGGCUGAAAAAGUCUCUUGGGAAAUCCGGCCGCUCAACGGUCGGGCGUUCAGGGGAUACUCUUCGGCUCGAGACCGGGAGAGGUGAGAGGUACUUCAUGGGUAGGGGUGAAAUCUUGUAAUCCUUGAAGGACCACCAGUGGCGAAGGCGUCUCACCAGAACGGAUCUGACGGCAAGGGACGAAAGCUAGGGGCACGAACCGG